AGAAAAAUCUAAUAAUUGAAAAAUGAAUAGAUUUUAAUACUAAUUUUAGAGGAAUUUACCAAUAAUUCUGUAAACAUCAAGAAUGAUUCAGGGAACGAGUGAAGAAAAGAUAAACAAGAAGCAAAAAGUCGCACUCCAACCAAAUGUGUCGUCAACCUUUUGCAUAAGCAAAAGUUCAAUUACAAGAAUGGCCGCCAUAAUUUCAACAUAGUAAGAAGCGCAAAAUCCCAAGAGAAAACAAUAAUUCUAUUGACCAACCUUAUUAAUAAAAUACUUUUUUAUUAUUAUUUAACACCAUUAAUUUUUUUGGGGAAAACUAUUUACACCCACAUGUCAUAUGUAUUAUAUAUUAUUUAACAACUUUUUAUCUUUUAAACACCUCCCAAAAACCCUUUUUCCUUUUCUUUCUUUCUUUUUUUUCCCCCCUCUAUUGGAUUAAACAAAUUUUUUUUUUUAAACCAGAAAAUAAUCGAAAGCCUUAUUAUUCCUUUUGCAAAUCAAAUAUGGAAUACAGGCUAUGCACAGCCAUCAAUGGAAUUAUGGUAAGAACACAAUUGCAUACCAGACAAACAAAUUUUGAGCGCUCUGCUUAGAUGCGGAAAAAAUAUAUAUAUUGGAUUUGAACAAUAAGAAAGAAUUGAAAUACUGGGGUUCCGCGAGAAAUUAUUUAUUUAAAGAGAGGUGUUAUUAGACAUUUAUAUUUUAUUUUUAAGUACUUAAAUAUGGGUUUUAACUUUUAAGGGGUUCAAUUUUCUCUCUAAAACCUGAUGAAUCAACCACACGCGCCAUCACCGCAGGCCCCUGGGCCCUGGUGACGCAGCAGCAAUUAUAACAGCCUCUCAAAAGUUUCAAACCUAACGAACAUUUGACUGAGCUUUUGACUUUUGUAAUGCAUGUGCAAGACACGUGAUCUGGGCUUUUAAACAACAACAGCCUAAACGACAGUUUCUUUGAUUCUCUCCGGUGUUGUUUUGAUUCACCAACCUGACAGAAAGGCCGUGUGUACAGAUUUUAUCCCUUCAAUUUCCUUAUUGCUGCCUCCGGUUCAAUGAAACCCAAGUUAAGAGUACAUUAGUAAAAAUUUACUAAUGGGCGCAUAAAAAUUUACUUUUUGUUUAAUAAAACGUAACGGGUUAUUUGUACCUUAAAUUAUAAUCUGCAUCUCACAAAUAUUUAAUAGAAUUUGCGGUUACUAAACGUCCACGAUAUUGGAAUUAAUUGUCAAGGACAAUUAUUAUAAGUGAAAACAUGUUGUCAUUCUUCAAAUUCAUCCAAUUCACUCAUUCUUAUAUUAACACGGUAAUAUUUUCUCUUCAACACCAAAUUUGAUGCAAAGUGCUUAUGGGAUACGAUGCAAUUGACAGCAAAACUGUAAACUGUUUUCUGAAAUUAUGUAUGGUGCUUUGGAGCGUCAUUAUCACUGCAUUGUAGCACUCUACUCCCAGAACAUAAAAAAUAAAAAUUGCGUGAGACCAGACCACAACUUCAGUGUCGUAUAGUAGGUCCUACAACGAAUCUAUAAACUUUUUAAAUAUUAAGUUUAGUCAAAUACACCGAUGAUGAUCGCUCUUUGUAACCCACUACUAUGACAUGCGACAAAGUAUCAUUGGAUCACAAGUUUUUACCCCAAACUAAUCCUAAGUUAGAUACUUAGACUACUGUAUAUGAAUUAUAUAACACCAACAAAUGUUAAGUAAUAAUUGACUUUUGUAUUAUUAUUUAUGUAAAAUAAUU
Molecule: long non-coding RNA, 1734 nt
Filed under: Citrus x clementina
Lineage: Eukaryota; Viridiplantae; Streptophyta; Magnoliopsida; Sapindales; Rutaceae
Description: Citrus clementina (C. clementina) long non-coding RNA (CCLE_LNC004502)
Source: RNAcentral